Molecule: long non-coding RNA, 828 nt
Organism: Engraulis encrasicolus (European anchovy)
Lineage: Eukaryota; Metazoa; Chordata; Actinopteri; Clupeiformes; Engraulidae
Exons: 6
Source: RefSeq, a predicted model, not a curated record
AGAUUUGACCAAUCGCGUUUCGAGUUGCGACAGAGAUUUCAGUGGCACUCCGCGUCAGUUACGGGCCGACGAAACGACAACACAAGCGGGACUUUUCAAAAGUACUGGAUGGAUUUUACUGCAGCUAUCACUCAAUUGACGACCAAUCAGCAUCAGGACCAAGACAGCACCAUGCCUCUCGAGCAGAAGAUACAGAGGCAGUUUUCAGAAGGAGGGUUGAUGUCACCACUAACAUUUUGCACACAGUGGUGUAAGAGAUUCUUCCUUCUCAGAGUCGUAAUUGGGUUGAUGAUCUACAUGAUGGUGAUGGACCAGGACAGCUCCGGACCCCCUGGCUGGCAGCUCCAUCCUCAACCUGCCUUCUUGCCCUUCACACAUGUGCAGGUAAGGCACUUAAAAAAAAAAUCCAUUCUUUUAAGGCAAAGGUUGGGGAAGAGGAGUGUGUGUGAGAGAGAGAGAGAGAGAGGGAGAGGAAGAGGAAGAGGGAGAAUGAGAACGAGAGAGAGAGACACCUGACAAUCGUCCAUCUUUCUGCUGUGGCAAGCUACAGGGCUGUUUUAAGCCCACAGGGGACCAAUAGGCCAUCUUGUGAGGAAGGGCAGGGAGAUGACGGGAAUGAGGACGAUGUACACAGCAGUGAUUUCUCAUACACCAGUGAUGAGGAAGAAACGGAGUGUAGUUCUUUAAUCUGAGACGGUUUGGAAUCAUCAAUCAUCAUUCCUUGACACCCGCAGCUGUCUCCUUUCUCCUGCUUUCUCCAACACACCAACAGCCUCUCUCUGUCCUGCUCUCCUCUGUCUCCUCCAUCCUGAUCUCCAGUGCAGCAGC